Molecule: long non-coding RNA, 1205 nt
Organism: Arachis duranensis
Lineage: Eukaryota; Viridiplantae; Streptophyta; Magnoliopsida; Fabales; Fabaceae
Exons: 3
Source: RefSeq, a predicted model, not a curated record
CCCCUUCCUUACUGCCUAUGCUGCGCAGCAACAACAACAACACCACACGCAUACAGUGAGACCCAAGGGGAGAAAGAAAUCGAAAUAGAGGGAGAAGAAGGAAAGAGUUCGCUGGCGGGGGAGGUGAGGAGAGCGACGCAGCCGCCGAGCCCAACACUAUGCCGAUCGUCUUCAUCGCCGCCAGCUGAAGAGAGAUGUGAUGGAGAGGGAGGGUCCGCGGACGGAGGCGUCGCCGUCCCCCUGAGGCCGCACUGUCGCCGCAGCUGCACGAGCCGGAGGAACUCAUCUCCGUUGGAACUGCCGCACCUAAUCCACCCGCGCCGCCGUCGCAGAGCCGAUUUGAGGCGAGGGAGAAGGUCGCGAUGGGGGAAAGGGUCGCGCCGCCCAGUCGCCGGUCUGCUCGUCACCGCGAGCUUGCCGCCGCCAUUGUGAAGGAUCUGCCAUUUCCCUUGUUGCCACUGGAGAGAGGGAGAUCGGAACGAGUAAGGAGGAGGAGGGUUAUGUCCGUCACCACCUGAGCUCGUCGUUGCGGGUGAUGGCAAGCUGAACUGCAGCCAGAAGAGUGUUCAGGCCACCGCAGGUGCCACUGCCAGACGAGGGAGUUGCGUCUCUGCGAUACUGACCGCCGAGAGUAGUUCUGAGACUUCCGGGAUCGCCGAUGGAGCUUUGGGCUGAGCUUCUCCCAAUUGAGACCCUACUGCCGCCGCCGGAAAAGUGUGUCGUUGAUCCACUGGAGCUUCUGGCCGCCGCCGGAGUUGUGCCGGGGCCGAUUCGAAAUCGUAGCUGCCUCAUUGUGUUAUUCUGUGAUGCUAUGGUUAUUGCAAAUAUGGCUUGAAGCUGAGGUUGCGGUUGUUGUUGAUUUCGGGUUGAGGUGGAAAUGACUCUGUGACGCGUUUGGGUUAUGGAAUUGCGUUUUGAGGUAGGGGCGUUUUCCGAAAACUAUAGUUUAUUAUUGGAAUUAUUACAUAUGGAUACUGAUGUGAGAUAAUGUAUUUGGUGAUUGUAUAAUCCUUAUAUGUUGUUGAUGGUCCUGGAUGAAUGUAACCAUAAUUUGGUUUUGAUGAAUGGGUUGUUGUGUGGAUUUGUAAAAUGAAAUGCUUUUGGAGUUGAUUCUUUUGAAGCUUUGAUAUCUGAGUUUAAUCCGUUGGGGGUUGAUUUGAAUUGAGUUAAUUAUUUUGAUGAUAUGAAAAGUCGAAUGCACUUUU